This 396-nucleotide ribosomal RNA is filed under the name Lebinthus nattawa. Its description in RNAcentral is "partial 12S ribosomal RNA". Lineage: Eukaryota; Metazoa; Arthropoda; Insecta; Orthoptera; Gryllidae. The record is from RNAcentral.
UAUUAUAUUUGAUGUUAAUUGAUUAUUAGGGUAUUAAUAGAAAGUUCUUGAAACCCAAAGAAUUUGGCGGUAUUUUAGUCUUUUCAGAGGAAUCUGUUCUGUAAUUGAUGUUACACGAUUAGUUUUACUUGAUUUUGUUAUCAGUUUAUAUAUCGCCGUCAUAAGAUUAUUUUUAUUUAAGAAUUAAAUUUUCUUUUCUUUUUAUUGUAUGAUAUGUCAGGUCAAGGUGUAGCUUAUGAUUAAGUGGAAAUGGAUUACAAUAAUUUUAGUUAUUAUGAAUAAUUAUUUUAAGUUAAUUUGAAGGUGGAUUUGAUUGUAAAUUUAUUUUAAUUGUUAUAUUGAUUGGAGCUCUAGAAUGUGUACAUAUCGCCCGUCGCUCUCGUUAAUUAAGGUGAG